RNAcentral lists this ribosomal RNA (555 nucleotides) under uncultured bacterium ECS15. Its description in RNAcentral is "bacterial SSU rRNA". It matches the Rfam family "Bacterial small subunit ribosomal RNA", at positions 928 to 1482 of the family's 1533-position model. The record is from RNAcentral.
AACGGUGGAGCAUGUGGUUUAAUUCGAAGCAACGCGCAGACCUUACCAGCCCUUGACAUGGGAGUUUGGUCGCCGGAGACGGCGUCCUUCAGUUCGGCUGGCUCCCACACAGGUGCUGCAUGGCUGUCGUCAGCCCGUGUCGUGAGAUGUUGGGUUAAGUCCCGCAACGAGCGCAACCCUCAUCCUCAGUUGCCAUCGGGUUUGGCCGGGCACUCUGAGGAAACUGCCUGUGAUAAGCAGGAGGAAGCGGGGAUGACGUCAAGUCCUCAUGGCCCUUACGGGCUGGGCUACACACGUGCUACAAUGCGGUGACAGCGGAAGCGAAAGGGCGACCUGGAGCAAAUCCCCAAAAGCCGUCUCAGUUCGGAUUGCACUCUGCAACUCGAGUGCAUGAAGGUGGAAUCGCUAGUAAUCGCGGAUCAGCAUGCCGCGGUGAAUACGUUCCCGGGCCUUGUACACACCGCCCGUCACACCAUGGGAGUUGGUUUUACCCGAAGGCGGUUCGCCGACCCGUAAGGGAGGCUGCCGACCACGGUAAGGUCAGCGACUGGGGUG